GUUUUAAUAAUUUAUUCAAAAUAUUGGCCUUGUAAGCCAAAAAAAAGGAAACUUUUAAAACU
This 62-nucleotide transfer RNA is filed under the name Lampyris noctiluca. Its description in RNAcentral is "tRNA-Thr". Lineage: Eukaryota; Metazoa; Arthropoda; Insecta; Coleoptera; Lampyridae. The record is from RNAcentral.